AAUAGAUACCCUGGUAGUCCAUGCCGUAAACGAUGUCUACUAGCCGUUGGGGCCUUCGAGGCUUUAGUGGCGCAGCUAACGCGAUAAGUAGACCGCCUGGGGAGUACGGUCGCAAGACUAAAACUCAAAUGAAUUGACGGGGGCCCGCACAAGCGGUGGAGCAUGUGGUUUAAUUCGAUGCAACGCGAAGAACCUUACCUGGUCUCGACAUACAGAGAACUUUCCAGAGAUGGAUUGGUGCCUUCGGGAACUCUGAUACAGGUGCUGCAUGGCUGUCGUCAGCUCGUGUCGUGAGAUGUUGGGUUAAGUCCCGCAACGAGCGCAACCCUUUUCCUUACUUGCCAUCGGGUCAUGCCGGGAACUUUAAGGAUACUGCCAGUGACAAACUGGAGGAAGGCGGGGGCGACGUCAAGUCAUCAUGGCCCUUACGACCAGGGCUACACACGUGCUACAAUGGUCGGUACAAAGGGUUGCUACCUAGCGAUAGGAUGCUAAUCUCAAAAAGCCGAUCGUAGUCCGGA
This 521-nucleotide ribosomal RNA is filed under the name uncultured bacterium. RNAcentral's name for it is "bacterial SSU rRNA". It matches the Rfam family "Bacterial small subunit ribosomal RNA", at positions 777 to 1297 of the family's 1533-position model. The record is from RNAcentral.